GUCUAAUAACUGAAACCCCUGUACACAACGUUUAUUCAAACGAACAGAAGCAACGUAUCCACCCAGCAAAAUGUUCAAAGUUAUCAUUGCCUGUGCUGUUCUAUCCUACGUGGCUGCUCAACAUGCCAGCCAUACCCCGCAUCCCCAUACACAGCACCCGCAUUCUAGCCAUGCUCCAAAUAUCCACGAUAACUUCCACUUUAUUCACGAUGCUGCGGAUAACAAAAUGAUCAUCAAAACCGAGAACGAAUGUUAUGUAUUCGAUCUGGAUGCUGCUCAACAAACCGCCAUCACGACCCCAACAGGUCUUAGAGCUACUGAGCUGGCUUUGGUUGCCAUGAUCAGCACUGGUAAACAAACAC
This is a long non-coding RNA of Patella vulgata (common limpet), 362 nucleotides long. RefSeq lists it as uncharacterized. NCBI's taxonomy places the organism in Eukaryota, Metazoa, Mollusca, Gastropoda, Patellidae. The transcript has 4 exons. The record is from RefSeq and is a predicted model, not a curated record.